This 168-nucleotide microRNA precursor is filed under the name Pelobates cultripes (western spadefoot toad). Lineage: Eukaryota; Metazoa; Chordata; Amphibia; Anura; Pelobatidae. The record is from RNAcentral.
GCAGACACAUUCCAGCCUAUAAGCAGCAGACCCUCCCUCCCAGACCCUCCCACCUCCUGGACAGCUCACUAAGAAUGCAGCUUCACAAUGAAUGUAAAAUGGAUGCUGUCCAGGAGUUGGGAGGGUCUGGGAGGGAGGGUCUGCUGCUGAUUGGCUGGAAUGUGUCUG